GUCGGACAAACAAUAAACCUCAGUUUCAAUUAGGUCGGACAGAAUGUCCGGUGGUUUCCUCACUACGUCGGACAAUUUCGCGAAUGGGUCGGACAAUGUCCGUGACCGACCGAUAUUUUAAGGCCUGAUUAUACGGAUCGCGAAUCGAAUGUAUAAUCGCGUGUUAUUGUUCCUGAAUAUACGGCCCGACAUUAUGGCUUUUGCCUGCAAUUUAGAUACAGAAUAGUACGCAUAUGUAAAAGGCGG
Paramuricea clavata is the source of this 246-nucleotide non-coding RNA. The record is from the annotation of a GenBank genome assembly. Lineage: Eukaryota; Metazoa; Cnidaria; Anthozoa; Malacalcyonacea; Plexauridae.